UAUUGGUCAAUGGGCGCGCGCCUGAACCAGCCAAGUAGCGUGAAGGAUGACGGCCCUAUGGGUUGUAAAAUUCUUGUAUAGGGGAAUGAAGUUUGUUAUGCAUACCAUUUUGUAUGUACCAUAUGAAUAAGGGUCGGCUAACUCCGUGCCAGCAGCCGCGGUAAUACGGAGGAUCCGAGCGUUAUCCGGAUUUAUUGGGUUUAAAGGGAGCGUAGGUGGACAGUUAAGUCAGUUGUGAAAGUUUGCGGCUCAACCGUAAAAUUGCAGUUGAUACUGGCUGUCUUGAGUACAGUAGAGGUGGGCGGAAUUCGUGGUGUAGCGGUGAAAUGCUUAGAUAUCACGAAGAACUCCGAUUGCGAAGGCAGCUCACUGGACUGCAACUGACACUGAUGCUCGAAAGUGUGGGUAUCAAACA
This 415-nucleotide ribosomal RNA is filed under the name uncultured bacterium. Its description in RNAcentral is "bacterial SSU rRNA". It matches the Rfam family "Bacterial small subunit ribosomal RNA", at positions 362 to 774 of the family's 1533-position model. The record is from RNAcentral.